Molecule: long non-coding RNA, 280 nt
Filed under: Nicotiana benthamiana
Lineage: Eukaryota; Viridiplantae; Streptophyta; Magnoliopsida; Solanales; Solanaceae
Description: long non-coding RNA (NBEN_LNC010630)
Source: RNAcentral
AGAUGGUCCAAGCUCUGUGAUCCCUGGGUUGAGCAAGCAUGAUUAUGACCAGCUGAUGAUGAUGAUACACCAGUCCAAGCUGGGUGAAUCUACUGCUCAAGCUCCUUCUCCCUCAUAUGCAAACUUUGCUGGUACUUGUUGACUGAGAAUCCUAUAUCUGAUUCCACAUUUUGUUUGCUCACUCACAUUAAUUCUGUCACCUGAAUAAUUGAUUCAAGUGCUUCUAAUCAUAUGACUCAUGAUAAGAAUUUACUCUUUAAUAUUGUCCCUUUACCUCUGC